Anolis sagrei ordinatus is the source of this 700-nucleotide non-coding RNA. Lineage: Eukaryota; Metazoa; Chordata; Lepidosauria; Squamata; Anolidae. The record is from RefSeq and is a predicted model, not a curated record.
UCUGAUGAAGAUGCAAUCUGGUGCAAAGAGGACGAGGAGGAGACAUGGGUCCCCCCUGUAGGUAUAAGCAUCAUAAAUGAAGCAGCCUUGGAUGGAAACCAAGAGAUAAGCAAGGUUUUCCAACCUUCACUUGAAAAAGUUGAUACCUCAUUAAAGCUGCAGUUCCCGAAACUAGGAACUCCAUCAACUAAGACCCCGUUCUAGACCCUUCUUUUGGUUGGCUGAAAUAGACAUUGGAUUCUGAUGUACUCUACCAAGCAAUAGUCUGGCUCAAAGAAUGGUGGUGAUGAUAGGAUUCAUCUCAACUACUUUAUUUUGAUUUCUCUGGGACAUGUUUGCUAGACAAAACCAAUCACUAGUCUGUUAACAAGAAAUUGAAAUAAUAAACAUCUAUGGAAAUUUAUAUAAACACAAUCCAUGUUUCCUCUGCUUUUUCAUCAAUGUUCUGUCCCCUUGCAAUGCAUUAGAAACUUUUAUCAAAUUUCUUGUUCUUCCUAGCACAAAUGGCAUAUGUCUUCCAGCUAUUAUUUUCGUUCUUUCUUCUGAUGUUCUACUUUGUUUAUUUGAAAGGUUAAUCCAAAUUAUCAACAUUUAAAUUAAUCAACAAUCUACAUGAAACUCAUCAACUAAUAAUGCAUGUGGUUUUUUAAAAAGUUUGAAACAAGCAAGUAUCUGAUGCCUCAUUAGUCAAUGUACAGAU